RNAcentral lists this ribosomal RNA (521 nucleotides) under Saturnispora silvae. RNAcentral describes it as "LSU rRNA". It matches the Rfam family "Eukaryotic large subunit ribosomal RNA", at positions 62 to 603 of the family's 3401-position model. The record is from RNAcentral. Lineage: Eukaryota; Fungi; Ascomycota; Pichiomycetes; Pichiales; Pichiaceae.
AAACCAACAGGGAUUGCCUCAGUAGCGGCGAGUGAAGCGGCAAAAGCUCCAUUUUGAAAGCUCUUCGGAGCGUUGUAGAUUGGUGGGAAGCUAACGGCUGGUGGGAGACCAAGUCCUCUGGAACGAGGCGCCAUAGAGGGUGAGAGCCCCGUGUGUCUCCUUUACCGACCUUUCAGCCCCCUCCGCGGAGUCGAGUUGUUUGGGAAUGCAGCUCUAAGUGGGUGGUAAAUUCCAUCUAAGGCUAAAUAUUGGCGAGAGACCGAUAGCGAACAAGUACAGUGAUGGAAAGAUGAAAAGCACUUUGAAAAGAGAGUGAAACAGUACGUGAAAUUGUUGAAAGGGAAGGGUAUUUGGCCCGACAUGGGUCCUAUGCACCGUUGCCUCUCGUGGGCGGCGCUCUGCUUGGGCCUGGGCCAGCGUCAGUUUGGAGGGGGCGAGAAGGGUUUUGGGGAGUUGCCUAGCAAUUCCCCUUUGCUAGAUUGCCCCACACCGGACUGAGGACCGCCAUCUGUAGAUGCGCC